Molecule: long non-coding RNA, 409 nt
Organism: Condylostylus longicornis
Lineage: Eukaryota; Metazoa; Arthropoda; Insecta; Diptera; Dolichopodidae
Exons: 3
Source: RefSeq, a predicted model, not a curated record
AUUAUUAUUUCUAAACUUUUUUAUGCAAAAUCAAAACUAUAUAUGCAUACUUUAAGUGCAUAUCUUUAUUUAAGAAUGUAACUACAUUUCAGGCUCUGACAUAACUUUUAGAAGCUUGCAAUAUACCUCGAAAGACGAAAUACGAGAAACAUAUAAUAUAUUGGUAUCAGAGCUGAGUCUUUCGAAAAACUACUUCGUGGGCGAAAACAAGAAUUUGGAAUGGACGAUACUGUUACUAUUACGAAUUCUAUUACAGAGUGGGUCAGUGAAAGUUCGGGUUGAUCAAACAGUGUUUCAGAAAGCUAACAAAAAAAGUGAAUCUGAUGCAUUAAACGGAACAUUUCUCUAAAAAAAUUCCAUCCACAAGUAGAGAAAAAUAUUUAAUUUUGCAAUAUCAAUGCAAUCAAAA